UUUUUGUUUAGUUUCGUUGAUUUUUAAUAACUCGUCCAUUCUGCAUGUCUAAAUGCAGAGCCGUUCCUAUGUUUUACAAGGCUACAAACGACAAAAAAAGAGGCCAUUUUACACAUAUUCAUGAAGGUAAUGUACGAAUUUUUCAGCAUCAAGAUUUUAUAGUAAC
RNAcentral lists this small RNA (166 nucleotides) under Arabidopsis thaliana (thale cress). RNAcentral's name for it is "ATSL111730". Lineage: Eukaryota; Viridiplantae; Streptophyta; Magnoliopsida; Brassicales; Brassicaceae. The record is from RNAcentral.